CCCUUAGACGUUCUGGGCCGCACGCGCGCUUCACUGACGAAGGCAACGAGCUUUCCUUUACCGAAAGGUACGGGUAAUCUUUUGAAACUUCGUCGUGCUGGGGAUAGAUCCUUGCAAUUAUUGAUCUUAAACGAGGAAUUCCUAGUAAGCGCAAGUCAUCAACUUGCGUUGAUUACGUCCCUGCCCUUUGUACACACCGCCCGUCGCUACUACCGAUUGAAUGGUUUAGUGAGGCCUUCGGAUCCGCGACUCGUUUUGUGGAGAAGUUGGACAAACUCAGUCAUUUAGAGGAAGUAAAAGUCGUAACA
RNAcentral lists this ribosomal RNA (308 nucleotides) under uncultured eukaryote. Its description in RNAcentral is "partial 18S ribosomal RNA". It matches the Rfam family "Eukaryotic small subunit ribosomal RNA", at positions 1470 to 1796 of the family's 1831-position model. The record is from RNAcentral.